GUGCGUCCGAGUUCGUGCAUAGCUUCCGUGUUUACCUUUGACCCGUUGCCCUUCCAUGCUUGUGUCCAUGUUGACAUGACUCCUAACCCUUUAGUAAGUCUAGAUGAUCAAGAAAUCACUAACAUGCAUGAGCAAUGGCCAUGAUUAGGGCUUCAAUUGGCUGAAUUUGUGUGAUUAGAAGGGUUCCCCUUCUUCUCUGGCUCUGGCGUCGAACACACACAC
Molecule: long non-coding RNA, 222 nt
Filed under: Helianthus annuus (common sunflower)
Lineage: Eukaryota; Viridiplantae; Streptophyta; Magnoliopsida; Asterales; Asteraceae
Description: sRNA HanXRQr2_Chr14g0669591
Source: RNAcentral